RNAcentral lists this long non-coding RNA (2020 nucleotides) under Struthio camelus australis. RNAcentral's name for it is "lncRNA (ENSSCUG00000013680.1)". Lineage: Eukaryota; Metazoa; Chordata; Aves; Struthioniformes; Struthionidae. The record is from RNAcentral.
GCCAAAGAAAAGGUGAUUUCUAAUGAUAUGACCACCGAGACCAAAAUCCAGAAAUACUGCUGCCAUUCAGAUCUUCACUGCAUUCUGCCUAGCGCUUUCUGUUGUGUCCCCGACUGCUGCCCCGUCCCGUCCCCGUGUCCCCCUGCCACUCCCGCGUCCCCAUGUCCCUGUGUCCCCCCCCGCUGUCCCUGCGUCCCCGUGUCCUGCGUCCCCUUGUCCCUGCGUGCCGCUGCCGUUCCUGUGUCCCCUUGUUCCCAUGUCCUGUGUCCCCGUGUCCCGUAUCCCCGUGUCCCUGUAUCUUAUGUCCCCAUGUCCCCGUGGUGUCCUUGUGUCCUGUGUCCCUGUGUCCCAUGUCCCUGUGGUGUCGUGUCCUGUGACCCUGUGGCAUCCCUGUGCCCUGUGUCCCCGUGGUGUCCCCGUGUCCCCAUGUCUCGUGUCCCUGUGCCCCCGUGGUGUUCCUGUGUCCCCAUGGUGUCCCCGUGUCCCUGUGUCCCCGUGGUGUCCUUGUGUCCUGUGUCCCUGUGCCCCGUGUCCCCAUGGUGUCCCCGUGUCUCGUGUCCCCAUGGUGUGUCUGUGUCCCCAUGGUAUCCCUGUGGUGUCCCCGUGGUGUCCCCAUCGUGUCCCCGUGUCUCGUGUCCCCAUGGUGUCUCCGUGUCCCCGUGAUGUCCCCGUGGUGUCCCCGUGGUGUCCCCGUGUCUCAUGUCCCCUGUCUUAUGUCCCCGUGGUGUCCCCGUGCCCUGCGGUGUCCCCAUGGUGUCCCUGUGUCCCAUGUCCCCGUGUCCCUUGUCUCUGUGCCCCUGUGGUGUCCUUGUGUCUCGUGUCCCCAUGGUGUCUCAUGUCCCCAUGGUGUCUCUGUGUCUCGUGUCCCCCUGGUGUCCCCAUGGUGUCCCCGUGUCUCGUGUCCCUGCGGUGUCUCCCGUGGUGUCCCCACGGUGUCCCUGUGGUGUCUCCGUGUCCCCCGUGGUGUCCCCAUGGUGUCCCCGUGGUGUCCCCAUGGCGUCCCCGUGUCUUGUGUCCCCGUGGUGUCUCUGUGUCCCCGUGGUGUCCCCAUGGUGUCCCCGUGGUGUCCCCAUGGCGUCCCCGUGUCGUCUCCCUGUCCCCGUCGUGUCCCCAUGGUGUCCCCUUGUCUCGUGUCCCCGUGGUGUCUCUGUGUCCCCGUGGUGUCCCCAUGGCGUCCCCGUGUCUUGUGUCCCCGUGGUGUCUCUGUGUCCCCGUGAUGUCCCCAUGGUGUCCCUGUGUCUCACCAUGUCCCCGUGGUGUCCCCGUGUCUCGUGUCCCCGUUGUGUCUCUGUGUCCCCGUGGUGUCCCCAUGGCGUCCCCGUGUCUUGUGUCCUCGUGGUGUCCCCAUGGUGUCCCCGUGUCUCGUGUCCCUGCGGUGUCUCCCGUGGUGUCCCCACGGUGUCCCUGUGGUGUCUCCGUGUCCCCCGUGGUGUCCCCAUGGUGUCCCCGUGGUGUCCCCAUGGCGUCCCCGUGUCUUGUGUCCUCGUGGUGUCCCCAUGGUGUCCCCGUGUCUCGUGUCCCUGCGGUGUCUCCGUGUCCCCAUGAUGUCCCCAUGGUGUCUCCACGGUGUUCCAUGUCCCCGUGGUGUCCCCGUGUCCUCGUGGUGUCUCUGUGUCCCCGUGAUGUCCCCAUGGUGUCCCUGUGUCUCAUGUCCCCAUGGUGUCCCCGUGUCUCGUGUCCCCGUGGUGUCUCUGUGUCCCCGUGGUGUCCCCAUGGCGUCCCCGUGUCUUGUGUCCUUGUGGUGUCCCCAUGGUGUCCCCGUGUCUCGUGUCCCUGCGGUGUCUCCGUGUCCCCAUGAUGUCCCCAUGGUGUCUCCACGGUGUUCCAUGUCCCCGUGGUGUCCCCGUGUCCUCGUGGUGUCUCUGUGUCCCCGUGAUGUCCCCAUGGUGUCCCCGCGGUGUUCCAUGUCCCCGUGGUGUCCCCGUGUCNNNNNNNNNNNNNNNNNNNNNNNNNNNNNNNNNNNNNNNNNNNNNNNNNNNNNNNNNNNNNNNNNNNNNNNNNNNNNNNNNNNNNNNNNNNN